GUUUUCUGGAAUAUGAACUGAGUUUUCUGGAACAUGAGCCCAGUUUUCUGGACCAUGAACUGAUUUUCCUGGAAUGUUUUCUGGUUUUGCAGCUGGCAGGACCUGGCUAGCAAGAUGAACGCGCAGGUGGCCGAUGAAGGAGCAGGUGGCUACGCUGGGGAGCCCCAGGUUGCCCCCAGGGCCGGGCAGAGGGGGCAGAGGGGCAGCCCCCAGCCCCCCAGCCCCGGGAGAGGGGCGGAGCAGGCAGCAGAGAGGGCGGACGAGGAGGAGCUGGAAAUGGAUGCAGGAGUCAUCGACAGGGAGAUGCACUCACAGCAACAGCCCGUGGUCCAGGAGCCCCUGAUGCCAGAUGAUGCUGCAGAUCCUGCCCAGGACCCCAAUAACCAAGGUGAGGAUGAGUUUGAGGAGGCUGAGCUGGAGAGACCCGACUUUGAGGAGAAGGUGGGAGGCUCAGAGAAGUUGAAGGAGCCCAACUUUAAAGAAGAGUUGAAGGAGAAGCCACCAAAGGUGACUGGCUGGGGACCACCAGCAGGGCCAGGGAGGGCUUUGGAGAGUUUAAGGACUGGAAGGGAAACAUCAGAUUCCUGGAGGGAUCCAUAACCCCACUGUGAGGAUGUGGCAGGUGGGAGAAAGCUCUUUGGCACGCUGGUCAAAACCAACCUAUUUUUGCUUCCCCUGGUAGUCAUGGAGCCUGCAAUUUACAUUUCAUAGGACUUUUUGGUUCUUAGUUUCAUUCUGCUUUCAUUUUUCACCAGUACAACCAGCUGUGCAAGUCCAGCUCUGGUGCAGAGUGGAGCAGAAUAAGCAGAGGUGCCAGAGUUUAGGAAAUUAUCUUUUAGCCAUGCACCAGAGCUUGCUCUGGCCUCAUCCCCUCUGCUUGUUGAAGUCCACCCUGGCACUUGCAACACCUUCAGGGAUGGGGAGAUGUGGAGUAGGGGCCUUUCAUGCAGAACCAGAAACAAUAAUCUGAGUCUGUGCUCGGGUUCUGGUCAGCACAGCCCUAUCCAAGGCUCCUGGCAGCAUGUCAGAGCUCUGCCUCCUUGUUUGCUUCCUUGCAGAUGGAAUCCAUUUAUUUCACAAAGUGUUCCUUGCUGCCUGAAGCCAGNNNNNNNNNNCAAUCACAGAGGGAAUCACAGCAGGAAUCACAGGGAAUCAAUCACAGGGGAAAUCAAUCACAAGAGGAAUCACAGCAGGAAUCACGGGGAAUCAAUCACAAGAGAAAUCACAGGGGGAAUCAAUCACAGAGGGAAUCACAGCAGGAAUUACAGGGAAUCAGUCACAGGGGGAAUCACAGCAGGAAUCACGGGGAAUCAAUCACAGGGGGAAUAAAUCACAAGAGGAAUCACA
Molecule: long non-coding RNA, 1347 nt
Filed under: Chloebia gouldiae (Gouldian finch)
Lineage: Eukaryota; Metazoa; Chordata; Aves; Passeriformes; Passeridae
Description: Erythrura gouldiae (Gouldian finch) lncRNA (ENSEGOG00005013657.1)
Source: RNAcentral